AAUAGAUACCCCGGUAGUCCUAGCCGUAAACGAUGAACACUAGGCGUAGUCGGUAUCGACCCCGGCUGUGCCGUAGCUAACGCAUUAAGUGUUCCGCCUGGGGAGUACGGCCGCAAGGCUAAAACUCAAAGGAAUUGACGGGGGCCCGCACAAGCAGCGGAGCGUGUGGUUUAAUUCGUCGCAACGCGAAGAACCUUACCAGGGCUUGACAUGUGGCGGAAAACGGCGGAAACGUCGUCCUCCCGCAAGGGACCGUCAUGCAGGUGUUGCAUGGCUAUCGUCAGCUCGUGUCGUGAGAUGUUGGGUUAAGUCCCGCAACGAGCGCAACCCCCGUGGCAUGUUGUAUCUCUCAUGCCAGACUGCCGAGAGAAACUCGGAGGAAGGUGGGGAUGACGCCAAGUCAGCAUGGCCCUUACGUCCUGGGCUACACACACGCUACAAUGGCCGGUACAACGGGUUGCCAAACCGCGAGGUGGAGCUAAUCCCUUAAAAGCCGGUCUCAGUUCGGAUUGCAGGCUGCAACUCGCCUGCAUGAAGCCGGU
RNAcentral lists this ribosomal RNA (542 nucleotides) under uncultured bacterium. Its description in RNAcentral is "bacterial SSU rRNA". It matches the Rfam family "Bacterial small subunit ribosomal RNA", at positions 777 to 1330 of the family's 1533-position model. The record is from RNAcentral.